Molecule: transfer RNA, 84 nt
Filed under: Rhizomicrobium sp.
Lineage: Bacteria; Pseudomonadati; Pseudomonadota; Alphaproteobacteria; Micropepsales; Micropepsaceae
Description: tRNA-Leu
Rfam family: tRNA
About the family: Transfer RNA (tRNA) molecules are approximately 80 nucleotides in length. Their secondary structure includes four short double-helical elements and three loops (D, anti-codon, and T loops).
Source: RNAcentral
GCGGCCAUGGCGGAAUGGUAGACGCACUAGCUUGAGGUGCUAGCGGGGCAACCCGUGGAAGUUCGAAUCUUCUUGGCCGCACCA